This 493-nucleotide ribosomal RNA is filed under the name uncultured Lachnospiraceae bacterium. RNAcentral's name for it is "partial 16S ribosomal RNA". Lineage: Bacteria; Bacillati; Bacillota; Clostridia; Lachnospirales; Lachnospiraceae. The record is from RNAcentral.
CACGUAGUUAGCCGGGGCUUCUUAGUCAGGUACCGUCAUUUUCUUCCCUGCUGAUAGAGCUUUACGUACCGAGAUACUUCUUCACUCACGCGGCGUCGCUGCAUCAGGGUUUCCCCCAUUGUGCAAUAUUCCCCACUGCUGCCUCCCGUAGGAGUUUGGGCCGUGUCUCAGUCCCAAUGUGGCCGUCCACCCUCUCAAGCCGGCUACUGAUCGCUGCCUUGGUGGGCCGUUACCCCGCAACUAGCUAAUCAGACGCGGAUCCAUCGUAUACCACCGGAGUUUUUCACACUGCCCCAUGCGGAGCCGUGCGCUUAUGCGGUAUUAGCACCUAUUUCCAAGUGUUACUCCCCCGGUAUACGGCAGGUUAUCCACGCGUUACUCACCCGUCCGCCACUACUCAUAAAUCACUAGGUUUCAAUAUGAGUCCGUUCGACUUGCAUGUGUUAAGCACGCCGCCAGCGUUCAUCCGUGAGCCAGGACUACAAAACCUCGU